Non-coding RNA from Caenorhabditis elegans, 21 nucleotides. The record is from Ensembl. Lineage: Eukaryota; Metazoa; Nematoda; Chromadorea; Rhabditida; Rhabditidae.
UUUGAGUGUUGAUUUUGUCCA